This 330-nucleotide long non-coding RNA is filed under the name Olea europaea (common olive). Its description in RNAcentral is "long non-coding RNA (OEUR_LNC003944)". Lineage: Eukaryota; Viridiplantae; Streptophyta; Magnoliopsida; Lamiales; Oleaceae. The record is from RNAcentral.
AUAAAGAAGUGUCUGCAGUUUAUUAACUGGAAAUCAUAUCUCGGGUUUAGAAUCACCCUUAGUCAACAAAAUAACUUAGUUACCCAUAACAAACUAAACAAAGUAAAAUCCAUAUGGAAGUAAUAAAAAGGAGAAGAAAGGAAGCUUGAUGGAGAUGAUCGAUGCUGGUUCCCACGGUUCCUGAAAUUAGUGUCCGAGUUCUGCACCUUUUCCUCUCGUCUUCCUCCGCUAAUCCUCCUUCCGAAAAGUACCUGUGAACCCCGUUCUUUUUUCUUAUUUUUUUUCCUCCCAGUGUUAUGGGAUUUUCAGUCCAUUUGAGUUCCUAGAGUC